Non-coding RNA from Mycena rosella, 92 nucleotides. The record is from the annotation of a GenBank genome assembly. NCBI's taxonomy places the organism in Eukaryota, Fungi, Basidiomycota, Agaricomycetes, Agaricales, Mycenaceae.
GUCCCGCUGGUGCCCGGCGCACGCCUGCAUUUCAUAUGCAGAUCUGCCCAAUAGUUGUGCAGGACGACCCCGUUCGACUCGGGGGCGGGACA